AUUGAACGCUGGCGGCAGGCCUAACACAUGCAAGUCGAGCGGAUGAAGUGAGCUUGCUCCUGGAUUCAGCGGCGGACGGGUGAGUAAUGCCUAGGAAUCUGUCCGGUAGUGGGGGAUAACGUCCGGAAACGGGCGCUAUUACCGCAUACGUCCUGAGGGAGAAAGUGGGGGAUCUUCGGACCUCACGCUAUCAGAUGAGCCUAGGUCGGAUUAGCUAGUUGGUGGGGUGAAGGCCUACCAAGGCGACGAUCCGUAACUGGUCUGAGAGGAUGAUGAGUCACACUGGAACUGAGACACGGUCCAGACUCCUACGGGAGGCAGCAGUGGGGAAUAGUGGACAAUGGGCGAAAGCAUGAUCCAGCCAUGCCGCGUGUGUGAAGAAGGUCUUCGGAUUGUAAAGCACUUUUAGUUGGGAGGAAAGGCAGUAAGUUAAUACCUUGCUGUUUUGACGUUACCAACAGAAUAAGCACCGGCUAACUUCGUG
This 484-nucleotide ribosomal RNA is filed under the name uncultured bacterium. RNAcentral describes it as "partial 16S ribosomal RNA". It matches the Rfam family "Bacterial small subunit ribosomal RNA", at positions 30 to 507 of the family's 1533-position model. The record is from RNAcentral.